CCUACGGGAGGCAGCAGUCGAGAAUCAUGCACAAUGGGGGAAACCCUGAUGGGGCGACGCCGCGUGGGGGAAUGAAGGUCUGCGGAUUGUAAACCUCUGUCAUGUGGGAGCAAGCUUGCGUGCGUGAACGCGCGUCGAGAGUACCCGGAGAAAAAGCAUCGGCUAACUCCGUGCCAGCAGCCGCGGUAAUAGGGAGGAUGCGAGCGUUAGCCGGAUUUAUUGGGUUUAAGGGGUGCGUAGGCGGGAUGCCAAGUCCGCGGUAAAAAUGAGGUGCUCAACGCCUUCGAGCCGUUGAAACUGGCGUUCUUGAGUGCGCGAGAAGUAUGCGGAAUGCGUGGUGUAGCGGUGAAAUGCAUAGAUAUCACGCAGAACUCCGAUUGCGAAGGCAGCAUACCGGCGCCCUACUGACGCUGAGGCACGAAAGCGUGGGUAUCGAACAGGAUUAGAUACCCCUGUAGUC
Molecule: ribosomal RNA, 460 nt
Filed under: uncultured bacterium
Lineage: Bacteria
Description: partial 16S ribosomal RNA
Rfam family: Bacterial small subunit ribosomal RNA
Source: RNAcentral